This 1219-nucleotide ribosomal RNA is filed under the name Salmonella enterica subsp. enterica serovar Legon. Its description in RNAcentral is "bacterial LSU rRNA". It matches the Rfam family "Bacterial large subunit ribosomal RNA", at positions 1042 to 2162 of the family's 2925-position model. Lineage: Bacteria; Pseudomonadati; Pseudomonadota; Gammaproteobacteria; Enterobacterales; Enterobacteriaceae. The record is from RNAcentral.
AGGUCCCAAAGUCAUGGUUAAGUGGGAAACGAUGUGGGAAGGCCCAGACAGCCAGGAUGUUGGCUUAGAAGCAGCCAUCAUUUAAAGAAAGCGUAAUAGCUCACUGGUCGAGUCGGCCUGCGCGGAAGAUGUAACGGGGCUAAACCAUGCACCGAAGCUGCGGCAGCGAACGUAUCACUUAAAGCGAUUCAGCGGGUUACGAUUGACGGAGCGAAGCGACGUCAAAGCGUAUACAAAGUCGAGUCGGUUUAAGGAUACGUUCGUUGGGUAGGGGAGCGUUCUGUAAGCCUGCGAAGGUGGCCUGUGAGGGUUGCUGGAGGUAUCAGAAGUGCGAAUGCUGACAUAAGUAACGAUAAAGCGGGUGAAAAGCCCGCUCGCCGGAAGACCAAGGGUUCCUGUCCAACGUUAAUCGGGGCAGGGUGAGUCGACCCCUAAGGCGAGGCCGAAAGGCGUAGUCGAUGGGAAACGGGUUAAUAUUCCCGUACUUGGUGUUACUGCGAAGGGGGGACGGAGAAGGCUAUGUUGGCCGGGCGACGGUUGUCCCGGUUUAAGCGUGUAGGUGUGUGUUCCAGGUAAAUCCGGUUCACUUUAACACUGAGGCGUGANGACGAGGCACUACGGUGCUGAAGCAACAAAUGCCCUGCUUCCAGGAAAAGCCUCUAAGCAUCAGGUAACAUCAAAUCGUACCCCAAACCGACACAGGUGGUCAGGUAGAGAAUACCAAGGCGCUUGAGAGAACUCGGGUGAAGGAACUAGGCAAAAUGGUGCCGUAACUUCGGGAGAAGGCACGCUGACACGUAGGUGAAGUGAUUUACUCAUGGAGCUGAAGUCAGUCGAAGAUACCAGCUGGCUGCAACUGUUUAUUAAAAACACAGCACUGUGCAAACACGAAAGUGGACGUAUACGGUGUGACGCCUGCCCGGUGCCGGAAGGUUAAUUGAUGGGGUCAGCGCAAGCGAAGCUCCUGAUCGAAGCCCCGGUAAACGGCGGCCGUAACUAUAACGGUCCUAAGGUAGCGAAAUUCCUUGUCGGGUAAGUUCCGACCUGCACGAAUGGCGUAAUGAUGGCCAGGCUGUCUCCACCCGAGACUCAGUGAAAUUGAACUCGCUGUGAAGAUGCAGUGUACCCGCGGCAAGACGGAAAGACCCCGUGAACCUUUACUAUAGCUUGACACUGAACAUUGAGCCUUGAUGUGUAGGAUAGGUGGGAGGCUUUGAAG